UCAUGUUUGAACUGGGCUUCACAAGCU
This 27-nucleotide non-coding RNA is filed under the name Rattus norvegicus (Norway rat). Lineage: Eukaryota; Metazoa; Chordata; Mammalia; Rodentia; Muridae. The record is from RNAcentral.